GGGCGUAAGGGAAGCCGGGGCUUGGGAGGGCAGGGCUUUCUCUGCUUGCGGACAUCGCGAAGGGCCUCUGGCAGGCGCCGCCGGGUGGCGGCGAGACGCCUCCGCGCCUCCGGGGUUCCUUGUUGGCUGUCGGAGGAGGACCGGCUGAGGGAUGGCCUGGUGGGGAGGGAGCCCUCGGGCAGUUAGCUGCGUCGGGCCUGGGGCAGUUGUGCUGCACUUGGAGACCUGCCCGCCUUCGGGGCCUGUGUGCACGGGGAGGAUAGGCUGUUUAUCUCUGCAGGCUCAGGAAGGCAGGUAGCUGGCCCGUCAGUCAUCCGCCCUGCAAAGCGCUCCCGAGAGACCCCGUAGAGCGGACCGGACGCGCGCUCGCCUUCGGGCCAGCGCGCGCCUGGCCUGAGGUUUCCCGCCCCCGGAGGCCCUCACAUCUCCCCGGUAACGCUUAGGAAUUCGGGCAGCCAGCUCGCCUACCCCUGGGGAAUCGAGGCAGAGCUUCUGGGAAUGGGGUCUGAGGGAAGAGUGCUCACCAGGCAGUGACAUGUAGCCGUUGAGGAUCGCCACUGCCGUCUCGUUCUGUGCAAGCUGCAGUGUGGUAAACUGCCUUUGAAAGAGACCCACAUGUCAAGAAACUGAGCAUCACCUGUGACCAACAGCCAGAAAGUAACUGAAGCCCCAAGACGAACAGCUUGUGCAAAACUAAAUUCUGCCUACAACAAGAGCAUGAAUCGAGACGCAGAUCCUUCCCUAGUUGAUCCUUGAAAUGCUUGCAGCUCUAUGGACACCUUGAUUGCAGCCUUGUGAGAAAUUCUGAACUAGAGGACCUCGUAUGCCUU
This 830-nucleotide long non-coding RNA is filed under the name Pan troglodytes (chimpanzee). RNAcentral describes it as "long non-coding RNA NONPTRT016746". Lineage: Eukaryota; Metazoa; Chordata; Mammalia; Primates; Hominidae. The record is from RNAcentral.